This 1317-nucleotide ribosomal RNA is filed under the name uncultured bacterium. Its description in RNAcentral is "bacterial SSU rRNA". It matches the Rfam family "Bacterial small subunit ribosomal RNA", at positions 50 to 1341 of the family's 1533-position model. The record is from RNAcentral.
CGAGCGAGCUUGCCUAGAUGAUUUUAGUGCUUGCACUAAAUGAAACUAGAUACAAGCGAGCGGCGGACGGGUGAGUAACACGUGGGUAACCUGCCCAAGAGACUGGGAUAACACCUGGAAACAGAUGCUAAUACCGGAUAACAACACUAGACGCAUGUCUAGAGUUUGAAAGAUGGUUCUGCUAUCACUCUUGGAUGGACCUGCGGUGCAUUAGCUAGUUGGUAAGGUAACGGCUUACCAAGGCAAUGAUGCAUAGCCGAGUUGAGAGACUGAUCGGCCACAUUGGGACUGAGACACGGCCCAAACUCCUACGGGAGGCAGCAGUAGGGAAUCUUCCACAAUGGACGAAAGUCUGAUGGAGCAACGCCGCGUGAGUGAAGAAGGGUUUCGGCUCGUAAAGCUCUGUUGGUAGUGAAGAAAGAUAGAGGUAGUAACUGGCCUUUAUUUGACGGUAAUUACUUAGAAAGUCACGGCUAACUACGUGCCAGCAGCCGCGGUAAUACGUAGGUGGCAAGCGUUGUCCGGAUUUAUUGGGCGUAAAGCGAGUGCAGGCGGUUCAAUAAGUCUGAUGUGAAAGCCUUCGGCUCAACCGGAGAAUUGCAUCAGAAACUGUUGAACUUGAGUGCAGAAGAGGAGAGUGGAACUCCAUGUGUAGCGGUGGAAUGCGUAGAUAUAUGGAAGAACACCAGUGGCGAAGGCGGCUCUCUGGUCUGCAACUGACGCUGAGGCUCGAAAGCAUGGGUAGCGAACAGGAUUAGAUACCCUGGUAGUCCAUGCCGUAAACGAUGAGUGCUAAGUGUUGGGAGGUUUCCGCCUCUCAGUGCUGCAGCUAACGCAUUAAGCACUCCGCCUGGGGAGUACGACCGCAAGGUUGAAACUCAAAGGAAUUGACGGGGGCCCGCACAAGCGGUGGAGCAUGUGGUUUAAUUCGAAGCAACGCGAAGAACCUUACCAGGUCUUGACAUCCAGUGCAAACCUAAGAGAUUAGGUGUUCCCUUCGGGGACGCUGAGACAGGUGGUGCAUGGCUGUCGUCAGCUCGUGUCGUGAGAUGUUGGGUUAAGUCCCGCAACGAGCGCAACCCUUGUCAUUAGUUGCCAUCAUUAAGUUGGGCACUCUAAUGAGACUGCCGGUGACAAACCGGAGGAAGGUGGGGAUGACGUCAAGUCAUCAUGCCCCUUAUGACCUGGGCUACACACGUGCUACAAUGGACGGUACAACGAGAAGCGAACCUGCGAAGGCAAGCGGAUCUCUUAAAGCUGUUCUCAGUUCGGACUGUAGGCUGCAACUCGCCUACACGAAGCUGGAAUCGCUAGUAA